AACGAACGCUGGCGGCAUGCCUAACACAUGCAAGUCGAACGAGACCUUCGGGUCUAGUGGCGCACGGGUGCGUAACGCGUGGGAAUCUACCCUCAGGUUCGGAAUAACUCAGAGAAAUUUGUGCUAAUACCGGAUGAUGACGUAAGUCCAAAGAUUUAUCGCCUGAGGAUGAGCCCGCUUAGGAUUAGGUAGUUGGUGAGGUAAAGGCUCACCAAGCCGACGAUCCUUAGCUGGUCUGAGAGGAUGAUCAGCCACACUGGGACUGAGACACGGCCCAGACUCCUACGGGAGGCAGCAGUGGGGAAUAUUGGACAAUGGGCGAAAGCCUGAUCCAGCAAUGCCGCGUGAGUGAUGAAGGCCUUAGGGUUGUAAAGCUCUUUUACCCGGGAUGAUAAUGACAGUACCGGGAGAAUAAGCUCCGGCUAACUCCGUG
RNAcentral lists this ribosomal RNA (433 nucleotides) under uncultured bacterium. RNAcentral describes it as "partial 16S ribosomal RNA". It matches the Rfam family "Bacterial small subunit ribosomal RNA", at positions 29 to 507 of the family's 1533-position model. The record is from RNAcentral.